GACGAACGCUGGCGGCGUGCUUAACACAUGCAAGUCGAACGGAAAGGCCCUGCUUUUGUGGGGUGCUCGAGUGGCGAACGGGUGAGUAACACGUGAGUAACCUGCCCUUGACUUUGGGAUAACCUCAGGAAACUGGGGCUAAUACCGGAUAGGAGCUCCUGCUUCAUGGUGGUGGUUGGAAAGUUUCGGCGGUUGGGGAUGGACUCGCGGCUUAUCAGCUUGUUGGUGGGGUAGUGGCUUACCAAGGCUUUGACGGGUAGCCGGCCUGAGAGGGUGACCGGCCACAUUGGGACUGAGAUACGGCCCAGACUCCUACGGGAGGCAGCAGUGGGGAAUAUUGCACAAUGGGCGGAAGCCUGAUGCAGCAACGCCGCGUGCGGGAUGACGGCCUUCGGGUUGUAAACCGCUUUCGCCUGUGACGAAGCGUGAGUGACGGUAAUGGGUAAAGAAGCACCGGCUAACUACGUG
Molecule: ribosomal RNA, 468 nt
Filed under: uncultured bacterium
Lineage: Bacteria
Description: partial 16S ribosomal RNA
Rfam family: Bacterial small subunit ribosomal RNA
Source: RNAcentral